AUGACUUUUAUCACCAUCUUCAUCUGGAUAUUUGCCCUCUGUCUCCAAGAGUCCAGAGGCCAGGUCACAGUGACCCAGACUCCUGCAGUGAAAGCUGUUUCAGUGGGUCACUCAGUCAGUCUCAGCUGUAAGACCAGCAGUGCUGUACGCAGUAACAGCAAUGGACACUAUUUACACUGGUAUCAACAGAAACCUGGAGGAGCUCCUAAACUCCUAAUAUACUGGGCUAAAACCCUUCAGUCUGGGACUCCAUCUAGAUUCAGUGGCAGUGGAUCUGGGAGUGACUUCACUCUGACCAUCAGUGGAGUCCAGGCUGAAGAUGCAGGAGAUUACUACUGUCAGAGUUACCACUACAUCAAUAGUAAAGAUGUGUUCACACAGUGA
Molecule: non-coding RNA, 384 nt
Organism: Oncorhynchus masou masou (cherry salmon)
Lineage: Eukaryota; Metazoa; Chordata; Actinopteri; Salmoniformes; Salmonidae
Source: the annotation of a RefSeq genome assembly